This 76-nucleotide small RNA is filed under the name Paenimyroides ummariense. Its description in RNAcentral is "Flavobacterium ummariense Flavo-1 RNA". It matches the Rfam family "Flavo-1 RNA". The record is from RNAcentral. Lineage: Bacteria; Pseudomonadati; Bacteroidota; Flavobacteriia; Flavobacteriales; Flavobacteriaceae.
UUGCAAAAAGGAUUACAGUGAAAAUCCUUUUUGUAAGGAACGAACAAAAAGAUUGUAACGUAAAGCCCGAUCCGCC